Thamnophis sirtalis is the source of this 673-nucleotide non-coding RNA. Lineage: Eukaryota; Metazoa; Chordata; Lepidosauria; Squamata; Natricidae. The record is from the annotation of a RefSeq genome assembly.
UUUGCCCUCAGAAGGGAAAUACACCAGAAUUCUCAUUAUGUUCUGGGCUUCCUUCCUUCUCUCGAUGCUGGUCAACUCCUCAGGAUCCUUUGCCCAGUAUGUCCUGACCCAGCCGGCAUCUGUGUCUGUCUCCCUGGGGCAGAAUGAAACGAUCACUUGUUCAGCAACGAGAGAAGGAAGGAAAUGCACACUGAAUUUGCAUAAGGGAGUAAAGCCAGAUCCUUGGGGGGGUUUAAAAGGAAGAAGGCAGUUUCCCAACCUGAGUUUCCGAAAAGAUCAGUUCCCCAUCAUGGCCUGGUCUCUGCUCUUGGCUUUCUUCUUCUUAUGGUGCACAGGAGCCAACUCACAGUUUACCUUGACUCAACCUGCAGCACAAUCGUUUCCCCCCGGACAACCAGCAAAGAUCUCGUGUACCAUGAGCCAAAGCAGGCAUGUGGGCAGCUAUACCAUAUAUUGGUACCAACAGAAGGCUGGAGAGAGCCCCAAAUACCUUCUCUCUGAUAGCAACAGCAACGGACGAUUCACAGGGUCCAAGGACACCUCGGCCAAUGUAGCCUAUUUAACCAUUACAAACCUCCAGGAUGAGGAUGAGGCUGAUUACUAUUGUGGUGGUUAUUACAACGAUGGCAGCAACUCCUGCCCAGUUUCACUUCUUCUCACUCUGCUUGGCUAA